GGACGGCCAUGUGCGCGGCGGAGAGGCCGGGUGGCCACCGAACCUUCCCGCCUGUUCUGCGGUGGGUAGGAGUUUGGAAACUAAUGUUCCUGUGCUAACCUUCGUGUCUCUGUGACAUGACUGUUGAAAGACGGAGAGUGCGGAAUCUUUGGAGUUUUAAGCUUGCCAACUGUGCGGCCUAGCAGAAUCCUGGGAGACGGAAGGACAGCCAAGAGGCUAGGAUUUACCUUUAAGUGUCCCUAGAUUCAACUAGGCAGACUGGGACGGGAGACGCUGUGAAGGUACCAGGGAAGGAACGAGUGAGGUUCCUUUUCCACUUUUUCAUAAACUCAACAGUCAGGUUCAUGACGAAGAUAUAGAUAUUUCUGUAGAUUUUUUCCCCAACAUUCUAAUUAUGCCUCAUGUUUCGUAGAUCCUAGUAACUGCUUGGAUUACUGCCACCUCAGAGGGGCGUCUGGGCAUGGCUUUCCCAACCUAGUAACUGCAACUUUUAGCAUCCUACAUGUAGGACUUGGGAAUAUGUGAGACAGCGCCAAGAAUUUAAUCCAGGAGAAUUGACAAGCUUAAAUGAAAUCCAUAUUGCCCACUGAUUUUGUGCAGCUUCAGAUAAGUAAUCUUUCUCCACUUAGCCUUUUGUAACAAUUGAUGUAAUAAAGGUUUGUAGUCUUUGUGUAAUUUAUUAAAGCAUUGUGCCUAAAAUAGAAAAAAAGCAUAGGAACCAUAGGCUGUGUUUUCUUUUGAUUUAAUAUUUUCAUUUCUUCAGUUAAUAGAAAUUUGCCAAA
This 782-nucleotide long non-coding RNA is filed under the name Homo sapiens (human). RNAcentral's name for it is "HSALNT0381296". The record is from RNAcentral. Lineage: Eukaryota; Metazoa; Chordata; Mammalia; Primates; Hominidae.